Molecule: long non-coding RNA, 803 nt
Filed under: Ricinus communis (castor bean)
Lineage: Eukaryota; Viridiplantae; Streptophyta; Magnoliopsida; Malpighiales; Euphorbiaceae
Description: long non-coding RNA (RCOM_LNC001895)
Source: RNAcentral
GUGUUCUUCUGGCAGGUCCUGGACCCGUUUUUACGGGGGGUAAUGUUCGUGUUGUAGAGGAGGUUCUGCCGGAUUUUCGGUAGAAUUCUCCUGAGUCGAGAUUCUUAGACAGUCAGUCCUAGGAGUCUAGACCUAAGAUCAAAGAUCGAUUGUUUCAGCGUUUUGAUAAAUUGUUUUCCGUGACUAGAUUGUCCGUUUGUUCGGCUCGCUCCAACCGAAGCACCGGAGCAGAGCUAGGAGGUCGCCUAAUUUUGUGAGUUAAAGUCAUAUAUCGCUUAUGCACGUGUCAUGCAUAAAAUUUGAUUUGCUACUGUGAUUAUUCAUUUGCAAUUUUAAUUUUUCAUUUAAUUAUUAUCAUUAUUUUCUUGAUGCUUUUAAUUAUUAUUUAAAUAUAUUUUUCCUUUAUCACCAAUUUUAAUAUUGCAUGAUGACUCAGGAUGGGACGGCAGUAGAACAUAGGAGUUGGAUGAGUGUUCCAAUAUAAUAUGAGAGAGAUAGGAAAAGGGUAAAGAGGUAAAAAAUUUGAGAAAGAAAGAUUAGAACCUGCCCUGGUCGAGCAUCGCUCUCUGGGCUUAGUAGAGUGUGGUUGCCGGAGUAAAGGUCCCUGGUCGAGCAUUGCUCUCUGGGCGCCGGCUUAUUUGGAAAUUUAAGUGACCAGACUGGAGGUAAGGUCCCUGGUCGAGCUAUGCUCUCUGGGCGCCAGUCUUAUUGGAUAAGAGAGCCGAAAGGCUAAGGCGGAGAGUUAAGUGACCGGACUGGAGGUAAGGUCCCUGGUCGAGCUUUGCUCUCUGGGCGCCAGUCCU